RNAcentral lists this long non-coding RNA (799 nucleotides) under Ananas comosus (pineapple). RNAcentral's name for it is "long non-coding RNA (ACOM_LNC031033)". Lineage: Eukaryota; Viridiplantae; Streptophyta; Magnoliopsida; Poales; Bromeliaceae. The record is from RNAcentral.
CUCUUAUACAAUCCUUAAGUGUUAUUUUGUUUGAUACCUUCUUUAUGCAAUUAUUGUAUGAAUACUGUUCCUGUUUGAAAUCUUUUGUAUUGUACUGUUUAUUGAGCCUUGAAGGGUACAAGGGAGAUUUUGUCCGCGGUACAGAAAAAAUUCUGUCCAUUCGGCACUGUCGGCGAUCCGAAUCCGGCCAAAUAGGCGUAGGGCUCGGGGCGUGACACCAAGUUUCUCAUCAUAAGUCCAAUCUACGUCUCGGAUCACGCGCAAAAAUUUAUUAGCAUGUUUUUUGUAAAUAUAUAUUAGUGUAUCAGUGAUCGUUUAGAAGACCUUUUGAUGUAAAUGNGUAUUUUUCUUUCUAUUUUUUUAAUUAUGCUCUCUCUCUUUAACUUAUACUCUCUCUUCCUUUUUUCUAAAAAGAUGUUGAAAAUUUUGGUAACAUUAUCUAAAAUUAAAUAAAUAAAUAAAUAAAUAAAAUGUAUGUUUUUUGCAAUAUUAAAUAACAUGGCUAAUUAAUAUUACCGUGCGAACCAAACACAGGAAUUCCACAUUCUUAAUAAUAUGAUGAAUAGGAAUAAGAUUCUCGGAUAUCUUUUAUUUCUAGUAAUCUUUCAUAAUGCGAACCAAACGCACCCUAAGUGUUAUAUUAUUUGAUAUCUUCUUUAUGCAAUUAUUGUAUGAAUACUGUUCAUGUUUGAAAUCUUUUGUAUUGUAUUAUUUAUUGAGCCUUGAACGGUACAAGGGAGACUCUGUCCGCGGUACAGAAAAAAUUCUGUCCAUUCGGCGCUGUCGGCGAUCCGAACCC